CCUACGGGGGGCUGCAGUAAGGAAUAUUGGUCAAUGGACGAAAGUCUGAACCAGCCAUGCCGCGUGGAGGAUGAAGGUCCUCUGGAUUGUAAACUUCUUUUAUAUGGGACGAAAAAAGGCUUUUCUAAGUCGUCUGACGGUACCAUAUGAAUAAGCACCGGCUAACUCCGUGCCAGCAGCCGCGGUAAUACGGAGGGUGCCAGCGUUAUCCGGUUUCACUGGUGUUAAGGUGUGUGGGGGUGUCAUGGUAGAAAUCCCCGAGCUUAACUUGGGAACUGCCAUUGAUACUAUCAGUCUUGAAUACCGUGGAGGUCAGCGGAAUAUGUCAUGUAGCGGUGAAAUGCUUAGAUAUGACAUAGAACACCAAUUGCGAAGGCAGCUGGCUACCCGAAUAUUGACACUGAGGCACGAAAGCGUGGGGAUCAAACAGGAUUAGAUACCCUAGUAGUC
This 450-nucleotide ribosomal RNA is filed under the name uncultured bacterium. RNAcentral's name for it is "partial 16S ribosomal RNA". It matches the Rfam family "Bacterial small subunit ribosomal RNA", at positions 338 to 795 of the family's 1533-position model. The record is from RNAcentral.